This 495-nucleotide ribosomal RNA is filed under the name uncultured bacterium. RNAcentral's name for it is "partial 16S ribosomal RNA". It matches the Rfam family "Bacterial small subunit ribosomal RNA", at positions 28 to 507 of the family's 1533-position model. The record is from RNAcentral.
GACGAACGCUGGCGGCGUGCCUAAUACAUGCAAGUAGAACGCUGAAGGAGGAGCUUGCUUCUCUGGAUGAGUUGCGAACGGGUGAGUAACGCGUAGGUAACCUGCCUGGUAGUGGGGGAUAACUAUUGGAAACGAUAGCUAAUACCGCAUAAUAGCAGUUGUUGCAUGAUAACUGUUUGAAAGGUGCAAUUGCACCGCUACCAGAUGGACCGGCGUUGUAUUAGCUAGUUGGUGGGGUAACGGCUCACCAAGGCGAAGAUACAUAGCCGACCUGAGAGGGGGAUCGGCCACACUGGGACUGAGACACGGCCCAGACUCCUACGGGAGGCAGCAGUAGGGAAUCUUCGGCAAUAGACGGAAGUCUGACCGAGCAACGCCGCGUGAGUGAAGAAGGUUUUCGGAUCGUAAAGCUCUGUUGUAAGAGAAGAACGAGUGUGAGAGUGGAAAGUUCACACUGUGACGGUAUCUUACCAGAAAGGGACGGCUAACUACGUG